RNAcentral lists this ribosomal RNA (435 nucleotides) under uncultured bacterium. Its description in RNAcentral is "bacterial SSU rRNA". It matches the Rfam family "Bacterial small subunit ribosomal RNA", at positions 958 to 1392 of the family's 1533-position model. The record is from RNAcentral.
AACGCGAAGAACCUUACCUGCCCUUGACAUGCCAGGAAUCUCGCAGAGAUGCGGGAGUGCCUUCGGGAACCUGGACACAGGUGCUGCAUGGCGGUGGUCAGCUCGUGUCUUGAGAUGUUGGGUUAAGUCCCCCAACAAGCGCACCCCUUGUCUCUAUUUACUACCAGUUCGGGUGAGCACUCUAGAGAGACUGCCGGUGAUAAACCGGAGGAAGGGGGGGAUGACGUCAAGUCAUCAUGGCCCUUAUGGGGAGGGCUACACCCGUGCUACAAUGGACGGUACAAAGGGUUGCCAACCCGCGAGGGGGAGCCAAUCCCAUAAAGCCGUUCGUAGUCCGGAUUGCAGUCUGCAACUCGACUGCAUGAAGUCGGAAUCGCUAGUAAUCGCAGAUCAGCAUUGCUGCGGUGAAUACGUUCCCGGGUCUUGUACACACCG